Molecule: long non-coding RNA, 673 nt
Organism: Oncorhynchus keta (chum salmon)
Lineage: Eukaryota; Metazoa; Chordata; Actinopteri; Salmoniformes; Salmonidae
Exons: 4
Source: RefSeq, a predicted model, not a curated record
ACUUGGAGAGGUGUGUGGCCACUUGGAGAGGUGUGUGGCCACUUGGAGAGGUGUGUGGCCACUUGGAGAGGUGUGUGGGAACUUGGAGAGGUGUGUGAGAACUUGGAGAGGUGUGUGGCCACUUGGAGAGGUGUGUGGGAACUUGGAGAGGUGUGUGGGAACUUGGAGAGGUGUGUGGGAACUUGGAGAGGUGUGUGGCCACUUGGAGAGGUGUGUGGCCACUUGGAGAGGUGUGUGGCCACUUGGAGAGGUGUGUGGCCACUUGGAGAGGCGUGUGGGUACUUGGAGAGGUGUGUGGGAACUUGGAGAGGUGUGUGGCCACUUGGAGAGGUGUGUGGCCACUUGGAGAGGUGUGUGGCCACUUGGAGAGGUGUGUGGCCACUUGGAGAGGUGUGUGGCCACUUGGAGAGGUGUGUGGGAACUUGGAGAGGUGUGUGGGAACUUGGAGAGGUGUGUGGCCACUUGGAGAGGUGUGUGGGAACUUGGAGAGGUGUGUGGCCACUUGGAGAGGUGUGUGGGAACUUGGAGAGGUGUGUGGGCACUUGGAGAGGUGUGUGGCCACUUGGAGAGGCGUGUGGCCACUUGGAGAGGUGUGUGGCCACUUGGAGAGGCGUGUGGCCACUUGGAGAGGUGUGUGGCCACUUGGAGAGGUGUGUGGCCACUUGGAGAGGUG